This 253-nucleotide ribosomal RNA is filed under the name uncultured bacterium. RNAcentral describes it as "partial 16S ribosomal RNA". It matches the Rfam family "Bacterial small subunit ribosomal RNA", at positions 524 to 776 of the family's 1533-position model. The record is from RNAcentral.
UACGUAGGGUGCAAGCGUUGUCCGGAAUUAUUGGGCGUAAAGAGCUCGUAGGCGGUUUGUCGCGUCUGCUGUGAAAAUCCAGGGCUUAACCCUGGACCUGCAGUGGGUACGGGCAGACUGGAGUGCGGUAGGGGAGAUCGGAAUUCCUGGUGUAGCGGUGGAAUGCGCAGAUAUCAGGAGGAACACCGGUGGCGAAGGCGGUUCUCUGGGCAUUACCUGACGCUGAGGAGCGAAAGCAUGGGGAGCGAACAGG